This 423-nucleotide ribosomal RNA is filed under the name uncultured bacterium. Its description in RNAcentral is "bacterial SSU rRNA". It matches the Rfam family "Bacterial small subunit ribosomal RNA", at positions 355 to 775 of the family's 1533-position model. The record is from RNAcentral.
UAAGGAAUAUUGGACAAUGGAGGCAACUCUGAUCUAGCCAUGCCGCGUGAAGGAAUAAGGCCCUAUGGGUUGUAAACUUCUUUUAGACGGGACAAAACCCCUUUACGUGUAAAGGGUUGAUGGUACUGUCAGAAUAAGCAUCGGCUAACUUCGUGCCAGCAGCCGCGGUAAUACGAAGGAUGCAAGCGUUAUCCGGAAUUAUUGGGUUUAAAGGGUGCGUAGGCGGACUAAUAAGUCAGUGGUGAAAGCCUGCAGCUUAACUGCAGAAUUGCCAUUGAUACUGUUAGUCUUGAGUACAGUUGAGGUAGGCGGAAUGUGUCAUGUAGCGGUGAAAUGCUUAGAUACGACACAGAACACCGAUUGCGAAGGCAGCUUGCUAAGCUGUAACUGACGCUGAGGCACGAAAGCGUGGGGAGCAAACAG